Molecule: ribosomal RNA, 468 nt
Filed under: uncultured bacterium
Lineage: Bacteria
Description: partial 16S ribosomal RNA
Rfam family: Bacterial small subunit ribosomal RNA
Source: RNAcentral
GACGAACGCUGGCGGCGUGCUUAACACAUGCAAGUCGAACGGAAAGGCCCUGCUUUUGUGGGGUGCUCGAGUGGCGAACGGGUGAGUAACACGUGAGUAACCUGCCCUUGACUUUGGGAUAACUUCAGGAAACUGGGGCUAAUACCGGAUAGGAGCUCCUGCUGCAUGGUGGGGGUUGGAAAGUUUCGGCGGUUGGGGAUGGACUCGCGGCUUAUCAGCUUGUUGGUGGGGUAGGGGCUUACCAAGGCUUUGACGGGUAGCCGGCCUGAGAGGGUGACCGGCCCCCUUGGGGCCGGGGUGAGGCCCCGACCCCUACCGGAGGGAGGAGUGGGGAAUAUUGCCCCAUGGGCGGGAGCCUGGUGCAACAACGCCGCGUGCGGGAAGACGGCCUUCGGGUUGUAAACCGCUUUCGCCUGUGACGAAGCGUGAGUGACGGUAAUGGGUAAAGAAGCACCGGAUAACUACGUG